RNAcentral lists this ribosomal RNA (496 nucleotides) under uncultured bacterium. RNAcentral describes it as "partial 16S ribosomal RNA". It matches the Rfam family "Bacterial small subunit ribosomal RNA", at positions 28 to 506 of the family's 1533-position model. The record is from RNAcentral.
GAUGAACGCUGGCGGCGUGCCUAAUACAUGCAAGUCGAGCGAACGGACGAGAAGCUUGCUUCUCUGAUGUUAGCGGCGGACGGGUGAGUAACACGUGGAUAACCUACCUAUAAGACUGGGAUAACUUCGGGAAACCGGAGCUAAUACCGGAUAAUAUUUUGAACCGCAUGGUUCAAAAGUGAAAGACGGUCUUGCUGUCACUUAUAGAUGGAUCCGCGCUGCAUUAGCUAGUUGGUAAGGUAACGGCUUACCAAGGCAACGAUGCAUAGCCGACCUGAGAGGGUGAUCGGCCACACUGGAACUGAGACACGGUCCGGACUCCUACGGGAGGCAGCAGUAGGGAAUCUUCCGCAAUGGGCGAAAGCCUGACGGAGCAACGCCGCGUGAGUGAUGAAGGUCUUCGGAUCGUAAAACUCUGUUAUUAGGGAAGAACAUAUGUGUAAGUAACUGUGCACAUCUUGACGGUACCUAAUCAGAAAGCCACGGCUAACUACGU